GAACAAACAAAAAUCCACAGACACAUAAUACAGGAGAACAUGUGUAUGAGAACACUUCCCCAUGUGACAAGACAAGUUGAACUGUAUUUCUAUUUUAAGAUGAAACAUUUGUGAAGUCUCUAUCUGCUCCAGGAAGACAAAAGUUAUUGUUUUUGUUAGUUUGUUGGUUAUAAUAUUUUUGGGAAGUCAUUAUGAAAAUAUUUUAACAAGAAAUAUGAAGAUUGUUUAUAAAUUAUUAGCCUACA
This is a long non-coding RNA of Oreochromis niloticus (Nile tilapia), 245 nucleotides long. RefSeq lists it as uncharacterized. Lineage: Eukaryota; Metazoa; Chordata; Actinopteri; Cichliformes; Cichlidae. The record is from RefSeq and is a predicted model, not a curated record. The transcript has 3 exons.